This 760-nucleotide long non-coding RNA is filed under the name Homo sapiens (human). Its description in RNAcentral is "non-protein coding lnc-LURAP1L-2:1". Lineage: Eukaryota; Metazoa; Chordata; Mammalia; Primates; Hominidae. The record is from RNAcentral.
GGGUGAACGGUAUGAGCUCUAUUACGUGAAGGAACUGUGGGAAACUUAGCAAGGCCUGCUUAUUUGGAUCCUUCUGAGUGUUCCAUCCUCUUGAGAUAAAGAUGUUUUUUUCCCUCCAGGUAUAGGAGGGCAUCUUUCACAUGACUUAAGCAAGUUACUUUAUCUCUUUAGGAUGUAUAGUCCUCAUCUGCUAAACAGGAUUACAAGAGUUUGACAACUAGCCGAGAUAAGGUAUGUAAAGUGUCUGGCACCUAGGAAAAUAUCAAAAGGUAGUAAUAAUUAUAUAAGGAACAGCAUCAUAUCUGAAAUGAAGUCUAUAAAGAUUUCAUGCAUGCCCACCUGUAUAGACAUCAAGGCUAAUAGCAUGUUUGAUUUUAUCAACACCGUUUGCGAGCUAGUUCAGAUUUAAGUAGUAUGAAAAAUUCAAUAAACAUCUCUUCCAGCCCUAAAUAAAGAGGAUGAUACUCCGUAACCGAAAUUCUGAAAGUAAAUAGAGAAUAACAUCUUAGAACCAGUGCUCUUCUCAGUGUAGAGGCCAACAGCACACUAAUUUUACAUGCUUCUCCGUAUCGUGCGUCAUCUUCUGGAAUUAGCAAUCUUUUUCUUUGAAAACAUAGCUGGAUGCCAACUUUCUACUUAUUCCUAUUUAGGUCAAUGCUCGGUAAGUAUUUUUUUAGUAAAGAAAUUAACAUUAGAUGAAAUUAUUGAUAGUCCAAAGAGCAGAGAUUUAUAGCACUGACAACAGACAAAAGAAAUGAUA